AUUGAACGCUGGCGGCAUGCCUUACACAUGCAAGUCGAACGGUAACAGGUCUUCGGAUGCUGGCGAGUGGCGAACGGGUGAGUAAUACAUCGGAACGUGCCUAGUAGUGGGGGAUAACUACUCGAAAGAGUGGCUAAUACCGCAUGAGAUCUACGGAUGAAAGCAGGGGAUCGCAAGACCUUGUGCUACUAGAGCGGCCAAUGGCAGAUUAGGUAGUUGGUGGGAUAAAAGCUUACCAAGCCGACGAUCUGUAGCUGGUCUGAGGGGACGAUCAGCAACACUGGGACUGAGACACGGCCCAGACUCCUACGGGAGGCAGCAGUGGGGAAUUUUGGACAAUGGGCGAAAGCCUGAUCCAGCAAUGCCGCGUGCAGGAUGAAGGCCUUCGGGUUGUAAACUGCUUUUGUACGGAACGAAAAGCCCCGGGUUAAUACCCUGGGGUCAUGACGGUACCGUAAGAAUAAGCACCGGCUAACUACGUGCCAGCCGCCGCAGUAA
Molecule: ribosomal RNA, 498 nt
Filed under: uncultured bacterium
Lineage: Bacteria
Description: partial 16S ribosomal RNA
Rfam family: Bacterial small subunit ribosomal RNA
Source: RNAcentral